RNAcentral lists this transfer RNA (71 nucleotides) under Cavia porcellus (domestic guinea pig). It matches the Rfam family "tRNA". Rfam says of the family: Transfer RNA (tRNA) molecules are approximately 80 nucleotides in length. Their secondary structure includes four short double-helical elements and three loops (D, anti-codon, and T loops). Further hydrogen bonds mediate the characteristic L-shaped molecular structure. tRNAs have two regions of fundamental functional importance: the anti-codon, which is responsible for specific mRNA codon recognition, and the 3' end, to which the tRNAs corresponding amino acid is attached (by aminoacyl-tRNA synthetases). tRNAs cope with the degeneracy of the genetic code in two manners: having more than one tRNA (with a specific anti-codon) for a particular amino acid; and 'wobble' base-pairing, i.e. permitting non-standard base-pairing at the 3rd anti-codon position. Lineage: Eukaryota; Metazoa; Chordata; Mammalia; Rodentia; Caviidae. The record is from Rfam by way of RNAcentral.
GGGGAUUUAGCUCAGCGGCAUAAGCGCCUGCCUUGCAAGCAGGCAGUCGUGAGUUCGACCCCUGUUACCCA